GCCGAAUCUGUGUAAGAGGGCGUGCGGCAGCUGCUGCACCAGGUGCAGCUGCGUUCCUCUGGGGACCAAUGGGAACUAUGAUUCCUGCCCCUGCUACGCAGCCCUCACCACCCGUGGCGGUGUUCGCAAGUGCCCUUGAUCAUCACCUGUUACGGACAGUAGUUAUGGAGGCAAUUAUUGCCGAGAAGUGAGUUUGAUUGUCCAGCGAAUCGAUAAGAUGAUAUUUAUAAGUAGCAUGUUGUGUGUAAUAAGAGGGCAAGAUGUGUUGAUAUUCCGG
RNAcentral lists this unclassified non-coding RNA (277 nucleotides) under Hevea brasiliensis (rubber tree). The record is from RNAcentral. Lineage: Eukaryota; Viridiplantae; Streptophyta; Magnoliopsida; Malpighiales; Euphorbiaceae.